RNAcentral lists this ribosomal RNA (437 nucleotides) under uncultured Oscillospiraceae bacterium. RNAcentral describes it as "bacterial SSU rRNA". It matches the Rfam family "Bacterial small subunit ribosomal RNA", at positions 341 to 792 of the family's 1533-position model. The record is from RNAcentral. Lineage: Bacteria; Bacillati; Bacillota; Clostridia; Eubacteriales; Oscillospiraceae.
ACGGGAGGCAGCAGUGGGGAAUAUUGGGCAAUGGGCGAAAGCCUGACCCAGCGACGCCGCGUGAGGGAAGAAGGUCUUCGGAUUGUAAACCUUAGUCAACAGGGAAGAAGCAAGUGACGGUACCUGUGGAGGAAGCCACGGCUAACUACGUGCCAGCAGCCGCGGUAAUACGUAGGUUGCAAGCGUUGUCCGGAUUUACUGGGUGUAAAGGGCGUGUAGGCGGAGCUGCAAGUCAGAUGUGAAAUCCCGGGGCUCAACCCCGGAACUGCAUUUGAAACUGUAGCCCUUGAGUAUCGGAGAGGCAAGCGGAAUUCCUAGUGUAGCGGUGAAAUGCGUAGAUAUUAGGAGGAACACCAGUGGCGAAGGCGGCUUGCUGGACGACAACUGACGCUGAGGCGCGAAAGCGUGGGGAGCAAACAGGAUUAGAUACCCUGGUA